RNAcentral lists this ribosomal RNA (524 nucleotides) under uncultured bacterium. RNAcentral describes it as "bacterial SSU rRNA". It matches the Rfam family "Bacterial small subunit ribosomal RNA", at positions 8 to 578 of the family's 1533-position model. The record is from RNAcentral.
AGAGUUUGAUCAUGGCUCAGAACGAACGCUGGCGGCAGGCUUAACACAUGCAAGUCGAACGCCCUCUUCGGAGGGAGUGGCAGACGGGUGAGUAACACGUGGGAACCUACCUAGGGGUACGGAAUAACUCGGGGAAACUCGUGCUAAUACCGUAUACGACCUUCGGGUGAAAGAUUUAUCGCCCCUAGAUGGGCCCGCGCUGGAUUAGCUAGUUGGUGGGGUAAAAGCCUACCAAGGCGACGAUCCAUAGCUGGUCUGAGAGGAUGAUCAGCCACACUGGGACUGAGACACGGCCCAGACUCCUACGGGAGGCAGCAGUGGGGAAUCUUGGACAAUGGGCGCAAGCCUGAUCCAGCCAUGCCGCGUGAGUGAUGAAGGCCCUAGGGUUGUAAAGCUCUUUCGCCAGGGAAGAUAAUGACGGUACCUGGAUAAGAAGCCCCGGCUAACUCCGUGCCAGCAGCCGCGGUAAUACGGAGGGGGCUAGCGUUGUUCGGAAUUACUGGGCGUAAAGCGCACGUAGGCGG